UGGGGAAUAUUGGACAAUGGGCGCAAGCCUGAUCCAGCAAUGCCGCGUGAGUGAUGAAGGCCUUAGGGUUGUAAAGCUCUUUCGCACGCGACGAUGAUGACGGUAGCGUGAGAAGAAGCCCCGGCUAACUUCGUGCCAGCAGCCGCGGUAAUACGAAGGGGGCUAGCGUUGUUCGGAAUUACUGGGCGUAAAGGGCGCGUAGGCGGCCUGUUUAGUCAGAAGUGAAAGCCCCGGGCUCAACCUGGGAAUAGCUUUUGAUACUAGCAGGCUUGAGUUCCGGAGAGGAUGGUGGAAUUCCCAGUGUAGAGGUGAAAUUCGUAGAUAUUGGGAAGAACACCGGUGGCGAAGGCGGCCAUCUGGACGGACACUGACGCUGAGGCGCGAAAGCGUGGGGAGCAAACAGAUUAGAUACCCUGGUAGUCCACGCCGUAAACGAUGAAUGCUAGACGUCGGGGUGCAUGCACUUCGGUGUCGCCGCUAACGCAUUAAGCAUUCCGCCUGGGGAGUACGGCCGCAAGGUUAAAACUCAAAUGAAUUGACGGGGUCAUAGCUGUUUCCU
This 559-nucleotide ribosomal RNA is filed under the name uncultured bacterium. RNAcentral's name for it is "partial 16S ribosomal RNA". It matches the Rfam family "Bacterial small subunit ribosomal RNA", at positions 355 to 1375 of the family's 1533-position model. The record is from RNAcentral.